Molecule: ribosomal RNA, 459 nt
Filed under: uncultured bacterium
Lineage: Bacteria
Description: partial 16S ribosomal RNA
Rfam family: Bacterial small subunit ribosomal RNA
Source: RNAcentral
AACGAACGCUGGCGGCAGGCCUAACACAUGCAAGUCGAACGAGAAGCCACCUUCGGGUGGUGGAAAGUGGCAGACGGGUGAGUAACACGUGGGAACGUGCCCUUUGGUUCGGAACAACUCUGGGAAACUGGAGCUAAUACCGGAUAAGCCCUACGGGGGAAAGAUUUAUCGCCGAAGGAUCGGCCCGCGUCUGAUUAGCUUGUUGGUGAGGUAAUGGCUCACCAAGGCGACGAUCAGUAGCUGGUCUGAGAGGAUGAUCAGCCACACUGGGACUGAGACACGGCCCAGACUCCUACGGGAGGCAGCAGUGGGGAAUAUUGGACAAUGGGCGCAAGCCUGAUCCAGCCAUGCCGCGUGAGUGAUGACGGCCUUAGGGUUGUAAAGCUCUUUCGCCAGGGACGAUAAUGACGGUACCUGGAUAAGAAGCCCCGGCUAACUUCGUGCCAGCCGCCGCGGUAA